CAUCAUGCCCGAUACAUCUCUUCGGUCACCACGCCAGUACCUUUCUUUCGAGUCUAUGCAGCCCAGUGUCCGUCUGUCUUAUCGUGGGCAUGACGUGCAUGACGUGGUCUCAUAGUACACAAAUCUCAAUGUAAAAAUGUGUCCCAUUACUAAAGGGGUUAAGGACCAUUCAUAGAAGCAAGCUGCGGCCGUGUUCACAAACAAACGGUGAUACCAGAUCCUGUUCCAAUACAUAAGCAAGGAGGGUGAGUGGCAGGCACGGUGACCUCAGAAGCGAGGAGACUGCGGGCAAACGAGCAGGAGUUGACGAUCCAAAGGACUGACUCCACAGCGGUAAUGAGCCUCGUGUACCAUGCACUACGCCUUCACUGAGAACGCCAACUACGAACACCUCUGCCUUCGCCGCAAGAUCAGGGAAGGACUCUCUGCCUUGCAUCGCGCACUGUAGUGGGGCUGCUGCUGCUGCUGCUUAAGGGAGACUGGUUGGCUGAGUGGAUGACAGUGAGGCAUGUGUGUUGCGUAGUGGCGGAUUGGCGACGAGAACCAGCAGAUGACAUCAGGGAAGAUACAACUAACCAGCUCCGGCGGCCCUCUCCCCCCUGGCCGCUGCUACCGCUACUCGGCGGAUGGGUUCCGCCUCGUAUUGGGCCUUCACUGCCGUCCCGCUAACACGUGCUGCUGUCGCCGAUACUGGCACUGAGGGACUUCUCGCAGCGGCCUGGCAAACACCCAUCAUCACCACUACCGCCGCCGUCGUCCAGUGAGAUUCAUCGUAGACAUCCUGCCAUUCAACGCCUGCCACCACCACCACCUCCACCUCCGUAUGGUGUUGUCACUGUACUUGGACCUGUUGUCACUGUACAGUACUUGGAGCUGUUGUCAUGAUUGAAUAAUAAAUUGUGAAGAAAU
Molecule: long non-coding RNA, 909 nt
Organism: Portunus trituberculatus (swimming crab)
Lineage: Eukaryota; Metazoa; Arthropoda; Malacostraca; Decapoda; Portunidae
Exons: 3
Source: RefSeq, a predicted model, not a curated record